AGUGAACGCUGGCGGUAGGCCUAACACAUGCAAGUCGAACGGCAGCACAGUAAGAGCUUGCUCUUACGGGUGGCGAGUGGCGGACGGGUGAGGAAUACAUCGGAAUCUACUUUUUCGUGGGGGAUAACGUAGGGAAACUUACGCUAAUACCGCAUACGACCUACGGGUGAAAGCAGGGGAUCUUCGGACCUUGCGCUAUUGAAUGAGCCGAUGUCGGAUUAGCUAGUUGGCGGGGUAAAGGCCCACCAAGGCGACGAUCCGUAGCUGGUCUGAGAGGAUGAUCAGCCACACUGGAACUGAGACAGGGUCCAGACUCCUACGGGAGGCAGCAGUGGGGAAUAUUGGACAAUGGGCGAAAGCCUGAUCCAGCCAUACCGCGUGGGUGAAGAAGGCCUUCGGGUUGUAAAGCCCUUUUGUUGGGAAAGAAAAGCAGCAGGUUAAUCCCCCGCUGUUCUGACGGUACCCAAAGAAUAAGCACCGGCUAACUUCGUG
This 492-nucleotide ribosomal RNA is filed under the name uncultured bacterium. RNAcentral's name for it is "partial 16S ribosomal RNA". It matches the Rfam family "Bacterial small subunit ribosomal RNA", at positions 29 to 507 of the family's 1533-position model. The record is from RNAcentral.